GGGGUGGUGGUCCAGCUUGGUCUACGAUUCCGCGCUCGGGACGCGGAGGUCGCCGGUUCAAAUCCGGCCCACCCCACCA
Molecule: transfer RNA, 79 nt
Filed under: Candidatus Bathyarchaeota archaeon
Lineage: Archaea; Thermoproteati; Candidatus Bathyarchaeota
Description: tRNA-Pro
Rfam family: tRNA
About the family: Transfer RNA (tRNA) molecules are approximately 80 nucleotides in length. Their secondary structure includes four short double-helical elements and three loops (D, anti-codon, and T loops).
Source: RNAcentral